Molecule: ribosomal RNA, 300 nt
Filed under: uncultured bacterium
Lineage: Bacteria
Description: bacterial SSU rRNA
Rfam family: Bacterial small subunit ribosomal RNA
Source: RNAcentral
CCUGAACGCUGGCGGCGUGGCUAAGACAUGCAAGUCGCACGGGCCUCGCAAGAGGUCAGUGGCGAACGGGUGAGUAAAGAAUCGCUAACGUACCCCGGACUCUGGGAUAGCUACCCGAAAGGGUGGGUAAUACCAGAUGAUAUAACUUUCCUGCAUGGGAGGAGUUCUCAAAGGACCGCCGGCAACGGUAGGAACGGUCGUGGGAGGCGGGCGGAUUUCGUAUCAGCUAGUUGGUGAGGUAACGGCUCACCAAGGCGACGACGCGUAGCCGGACUGAGAGGUUGGCCGGCCACAUUGGGA